This 253-nucleotide ribosomal RNA is filed under the name uncultured bacterium. RNAcentral's name for it is "partial 16S ribosomal RNA". It matches the Rfam family "Bacterial small subunit ribosomal RNA", at positions 524 to 776 of the family's 1533-position model. The record is from RNAcentral.
UACGUAGGGUGCGAGCGUUGUCCGGAAUUAUUGGGCGUAAAGGGCUCGUAGGCGGUCUGUUGCGUCGGGAGUGAAAACUCAGGGCUUAACCCUGAGCCUGCUUCCGAUACGGGCAGACUAGAGGUAUGCAGGGGAGAACGGAAUUCCUGGUGUAGCGGUGAAAUGCGCAGAUAUCUGGAGGAACACCGGUGGCGAAGGCGGCAUCCUGGACCAACACUGACACUGAGGAGCGAAAGCCAGGGGAGCAAACGGG